Molecule: unclassified non-coding RNA, 344 nt
Filed under: soil metagenome
Description: partial contains 5.8S ribosomal RNA, internal transcribed spacer 2, and large subunit ribosomal RNA
Rfam family: 5.8S ribosomal RNA (bases 1-120)
Source: RNAcentral
GAUGAAGAACGCAGCAAAAUGCGAUAAGUAGUGUGAAUUGCAGAAUUCAGUGAAUCAUCGAGUCUUUGAACGCACAUUGCGCCCCCUGGUAUUCCGGGGGGCAUGCCUGUCCGAGCGUCAUUGCUGCCCUCAAGCACGGCUUGUGUGUUGGGCCUCCGUCCUCCUCCCGGGGGACGGGCCCGAAAGGCAGCGGCGGCACCGCGUCCGGUCCUCGAGCGUAUGGGGCUUCGUCACCCGCUCUUGUAGGCCCGGCCGGCGCUUGCCGACACAUCAAUCUUUUUUCCAGGUUGACCUCGGAUCAGGUAGGGAUACCCGCUGAACUUAAGCAUAUCAAAAGCGGAGGA